Molecule: non-coding RNA, 72 nt
Organism: Ornithorhynchus anatinus (platypus)
Lineage: Eukaryota; Metazoa; Chordata; Mammalia; Monotremata; Ornithorhynchidae
Source: Rfam
GGCAGAGUAGCCUAGUGGAAAGAGCAUGGGCCUAGAAAUCAGAGGACCUGGGUUCUAAUGCCAGCUCUGCCA